UAUCCGCCAGGGUACUACGAGCAUAGCUUAAAACCCAAAGGACUUGGCGGUGUCUCAGACCCACCUAGAGGAGCCUGUUCUAGAACCGAUAACCCCCGUUAAACCUCACCACUUCUUGUUAAUCCCGCCUAUAUACCGCCGUCGCCAGCUUACCCUAUGAAGGUAAAAUAGUAGGCAAAAUGGACAAGCCCCAAAACGUCAGGUCGAGGUGUAGCGCACGAAGUGGGAAGAAAUGGGCUACAUUUUCUAUUACAGAAAAUCACGAAUGGUUUACUGAAACACAUACCUGAAGGAGGAUUUAGUAGUAAAAAGCAAAUAGAG
RNAcentral lists this ribosomal RNA (321 nucleotides) under Brochis britskii. Its description in RNAcentral is "Corydoras britskii partial 12S ribosomal RNA". It matches the Rfam family "Bacterial small subunit ribosomal RNA", at positions 866 to 1354 of the family's 1533-position model. Lineage: Eukaryota; Metazoa; Chordata; Actinopteri; Siluriformes; Callichthyidae. The record is from RNAcentral.